GGGCGGGAGCGGCAGACUCCGCUGCCAGCUCUACUGGCGUCCUGGCAAGGGCAGCGCCGAGGGGCGCUCCCGGUCCAGCUCUCCCGGCUCGGGGGUUCCUUGCCUAGGCGCCAGAGCCCCGGGCUCCCUGCCUCGGCCGCUGUGGCCUGCAUAGAGCGGCACUGCGCGCGGAGGCGAUGGGAGAGAAGAAGGAGGGCGGUGGCGGGGGUGAUGCAGCGGCCGCUGAGGGUGGCGCAGGGGCCCCGGCCAGCCCGGGGCUGCAGCAGUGCAGACAGCUCCAGAAGCUCAUCGGCAUCUCCAUUGGCAGCCUGCGCGGGCUGGGCACCAAGUGCGCUGUGUCCAACGACCUCACCGAGCAGGAGAUACGGACCCUGGAGCAUUGUCCCAAUUCCUUCUUCUAAUGAAGAAAUACGCUUAGUUGAUGAUGCGUUUGGAAAAAUUUGUCACAUGGUCAGUGAUGGCUCUUGGGUGGUUCAUGUUCAGGCAGCAAAACUGUUGGGCUCUAUGGAGCAAGUCAGUUCUCAUUUCUUGGAGCAGACCCUUGACAAGAAGCUGAUGUCAGAUCUGAGGAGGAAACGUACUGCACAUGAGCGUGCCAAGGAACUUUACAGUUCAGGGGAGUUUUCCAGUGGCAGAAAGUGGGAAGAUGAUGCUCCCAAGGAAGAAGUAGAUACCGGGGCUGUGAACUUGAUUGAGUCAGGAGCUUGUGGAGCUUUUGUUCAUGGGUUGGAAGAUGAGAUGUAUGAGGUUCGUAUUGCUGCUGUGGAGGCCCUCUGCAUGUUGGCCCAGUCUUCACCCUCUUUUGCUGAGAAGUGCCUUGAUUUCCUAGUUGACAUGUUCAACGAUGAAAUUGAGGAAGUACGUCUGCAGUCCAUACAUACCAUGAGAAAAAUCUCUAACAACAUCACCCUCCGAGAAGAUCAGCUUGACACUGUCCUGGCUGUGCUAGAGGAUUCAUCCAGAGAUAUUCGAGAGGCUCUUCAUGAACUCUUAUGCUGUACUAAUGUUUCAACCAAAGAAGGGAUUCAUCUUGCAUUGGUGGAGCUGCUGAAAAAUUUAACCAAGUACCCUACUGAUAGGGACUCCAUAUGGAAGUGCUUGAAGUUUCUGGGAAGUCGGCAUCCAACCCUGGUGCUUCCCUUGGUGCCAGAGCUUCUGAGCACCCACCCAUUUUUUGACACAGCUGAACCAGACAUGGAUGAUCCAGCUUAUAUUGCAGUUUUGGUACUUAUUUUCAAUGCUGCUAAAACCUGUCCAACAAUGCGAGCAUUGUUCUCAGGCACUAUGCCUACCUCCGAGACAGUCUUUCUCAUCUUGUUCCUGCCUUGAGGUUGCCAGGUAGAAAACUGGUGUCAUCAGCUGUUUCUCCCAGCAUCAUACCUCAAGAGGAUCCUUCGCAGCAGCUCCUGCAGCAGAGCCUUGAAGGAGUGUGUAGUCUUCAGCACUUGGACCCUCAGGGAGCCCAGGAGCUGCUGGAAUUCACCAUCAGUUUUUAACUUUGCAGCUUAUGUAGUCCAGGAAGAUACAGUAGAUGAAGAUAGGAAUACCACGUGUGAGUGAGCCAAAUCCAGUAUAUGCCGCCUUGCAGGAAAAGUCGUGGAAUGUAGCUGCCCCUUCGUAUUUGAAGCAGAGUGAUUUGGCCUCAGCAGCAGCGAAACAGACUUUACCCCUUAUUUGGGAUGUGUGAAAAAUUUUUACAGGAAGUAGACUUUUUUCAGAGGUAUUUCAUCGCUGAUUUGCCCCACUUGCAGGACAGCUUUGUGGACAAACUCCUUGACCUUAUGCCCCGAUUCAUGACAUCCAAACCUGCAGAAGUGGUCAAAAUUCUACAGACCAUGCUGCGACAGAGUGCCUUUCUGCAUCUCCCACUUCCAGAGCAGAUCCACAAAGCCUCAGCCACCAUCAUUGAGCCAGCAGGCGAGUCAGACAACCCUUUGCGGUUUACCUCUGGGUUGGUGGUUGCCCUGGAUGUUGAUGCAACCCUGGAGCAUGUGCAGGAUCCUCAGAACACUGUUAAGGUCCAGAUGGAAUCUUACUCUGUCACCCAGGCUGGAGUGCAGUGGUGUGAUCUUGGCUAACUGCAAACUCCCACUCCUGGGCUCAAGCACUUUUCCCUGCCUCAGCCUCCUGAGUAGCUGGAAUUACAGGACACAUGAACCAUUAACAAGAAAAAUAUUUAAAUAAGAAACUCACCAAGCCAGGAGAAUAAUGAAUACCUGGAUGUGCCCCCUAGGAAUCUGGAUCUCUUCUCUUUUCCCCACCCUGCCCUCAACUCCCCUUACAUACAUACAGCCUGGAUCACAAGACCCAAGAAAACCAUUCCACCAGCUGCUGAGAGAAGAGCCACAAAAGGACCCAGAACUUCUCCAUGGCUACCUUAGAGCACCCUAAAAUGUGCUAACAGCCAUUGUUAGCAUUCAGGAGCUGUUUAUUCCCAUUUUCACACUACACUAAAGAAUUUUAAACAAUCACAAGAUAGACUGGCUGGAAGUUGGUGCUUGGAACAUCCCACGUCACCUAAAAGCACAGUGCUGCAAUCUCAGAAACCCCAGGCUCAGCCAGCAGAGAGAGGAGAAGCAGCUGGACAUUGGAGACUAUGAUUGGACAUUAGAGAGAAGGAGCUUGACUUCACAGAGAAAGCAUGAUGGAAUAAUUUCAGAGAAAAGUCUGGCCAGGGAUGACCAGACUUCAGGGGAAGAUAAUCUUGCUCAAUAUCCUUUUCUGCUCCCCUUCCUGCUGAGAGUCACUUUGAUUGGCAAUAAAAUAUCUCACAUUUACCAUCUUCAAUUUGUUCUUGCAACCUCAUUCCUCCUGGAUGCCAGACAAGAACUCAGGUGCCAUGAGUAUGGGUGCAAAAGGCUAUCACACUGUCCCUCCACUGAGCUGUUAACACUUAAGCUAUCCAUGGACAGCAAAGCUAAAAGGGCACUGUAAGAGUCCUUCUGGGGUUUCAGAAGUCAUGAGCAUCCCCCAGAUGCUGCCAUGGGGCCAGUACAGAGUUUGCUCCUGCCAGAGUCCAAAAAUGUCUCAGCUCCUGCACCCAGUCACCUGCAUGCUCCCCCUCCCACAAGUGGUGGAGCACAGUGGGCUGAGUGAGUGGAGUUUGCCCCUGCCAGCACCCGUGCACUCCAGUUCCCACCUGUGAAGGUGUCAGAGAGAUAUUCUGCUUAAAAAUCAGAGUGACUCCAUCUUAAAUAGCAGCUGGGUGAGAUAAGGCUGAGACCUACUGGGCUGCAUUCCCAGGAGGUUAGGCAUUCUAACCUUCUAUCAGGAUGAGAUAGAAGGCCAGCAUAAGAUAUAGGUCACGAAGACUCUGCUGAUAAAACAGGAUGUGGUUUAAAUAAAUGCCAGCCAGAACCCACCAAAACCAAGAUGGUGAUGCUCAUUCUCACUGCUCAUUAUAUGCCAGUAUAAUGCAUUUGCAUGCAAAAAGACUCUACCACCAGUGCCAUGACAGCUUACAGAUGCCAUGGCAAGAUCUGGAAGUUACCCUGUAGCCUCUAAAAUGGGGAAGAACCCUCAGUUCUGGAAAAUUUCUGCCCCUUUCCUGAAAAACUCAUGAAUAAUCUACCCUUUGUUUAGCAUAUAAUCAAGAAACAACUAUAAGUAUAGUCAAUCGAGCAGCCAAUCUCACCGCUCUGUCUAUGGAGUAGUCAUUCUUUUAUUUACAUCUCUAAUAAAAU
Long non-coding RNA from Homo sapiens (human), 3683 nucleotides. Ensembl annotates it as integrator complex subunit 4 pseudogene 1. Its record names the gene INTS4P1. NCBI's taxonomy places the organism in Eukaryota, Metazoa, Chordata, Mammalia, Primates, Hominidae. The record is from Ensembl.